Molecule: long non-coding RNA, 1087 nt
Organism: Herpailurus yagouaroundi (jaguarundi)
Lineage: Eukaryota; Metazoa; Chordata; Mammalia; Carnivora; Felidae
Exons: 2
Source: RefSeq, a predicted model, not a curated record
AGCCCAACGCGGGGCUUGAACUCACAGACCUCGAGAUCAUGACCUGAGCCAAAGUCAGAUGCUUAACUGACUGAGCCACCCAGGGCGCCCCCCACCCCUCCUAUAUUUCUUAAGAGUAGGAAUAGUCUCUUUCAUAGCCUCGGUAUUUUCCUUGAAGCAGUAUUUUUAUCUAAUCUACUGUCAUAUUACAAUUUUGUCAGUUGCCCUAAUAAUCCCCCUUAUAGCAUCCCUGUGCCUCCCCAAGCGCCUCUCUCCCUACCACCCCACCAAGUUUAUGGUCAGAUCCAGUUUAUGGUCAAGCAUUGGAUUUACUUGUCGUGUCUCUUUGGCUUCCUUUAACCUAGAAUUGUUUCCCUUUUAUGGCAUUGACACUUUUGAAGAAUACGGUCUUCCCCUCCCUUUUUAUUCCAGAACAUUCUUCAUUUUCUGUGAAUCACGGCCAUUCUUAAUUACAGAGCUCCACUGCCUCAGUGGGGGCUGAACAAGAAUCGAUAGCCGUAUCUCCUCCAUAAUCUUCCCAGAAAACUGGAUCUCAGGCUCCCUGAAUGGGUCUGGUCAGUGAUAUGAGCACAUGCUGAGUCCCCACUCCACGGAGCCCGCACGAACCUCUGGACCUCUGACCGACCUGCCCGCUUCUUUCCUAAAUUUUGACUUCUGAAAAGAUCAACACAGCUAAACCACUUCAACCCGGCAGGGAGAGGCCCCUGCCUUGGCAUAUCCCUACCCGCUGGAACCCUGACUUAGCAGAAGUUCUCAUCAUGGGAGAUCCAGGAAAGUCUCUGAAAGAAGAUGCCGAGGUUCCCAGGAACACCUUUCCUGAGUCUGUGCUAUGAUUAGGGCAUCUUUGUUUUACGCACCUACGUGAAGCAGACAUUUUUGGCAAUGCCUUUAUUCUACAGAACGCCAGCUAGGUCUAGGGCUAAGAAAAGCACCAUGUUUAUAUGCCCACAAAUUUUCUCAAUCAUGAGCAAAUUAUUUGCUCCUCGCCCCAUGAAAAAAUGAACUUUCUCUUUUGAGAGUUUGGAGAAAAUAAAAAAGAGAAAUUAACCAAUCAAAGAGAGCUUGGACAAUAAAGUGAACAAAGACA